AUGGCCAAGGAACUCGGCAAAAUAACCCCGUAACUUCGGAAGAAGGGGUGCUCUCUAGGGUGACAUGUUUAACAUAUGAAGCCCCGGGGAGCCGCAGUGAAUUGGUGGUGGCGACUGUUUACUAAAAACAUAGGUCUGUGCGAAGUCCUAAAGACGACGUAUACGGACUGACGCCUGCCCGGUGCUGGAAGGUUAAAAGGAGGGGUCAGCGCAAGCAAAGCUCCGAAUUGAAGCCCCAGUAAACGGCGGCCGUAACUAUAACGGUCCUAAGGUAGCGAAAUUCCUUGUCGGGUAAGUUCCGACCUGCACGAAUGGCGUAACGAUCUCCACACUGUCUCGGCCAGAGACUCGGUGAAAUUGCAGUCGCGGUGAAAAUUCCGUGUACCCGCAGAAAGACGGAAAGACCCUGUGCACCUUUACUAUAGCUUGACAUUGGAUUUUGGGCCUGCAUGUGUAGGAUAGGUGGGAGGCUGUGAACCCUGUACGCCAGUAUGGGGGGAGCCAUCCUUGAAAUACCACCCUUGCAUGUUUAAGAUCCUAACUUCUUCCGGUUAUCCCGGAGAAAGACAGUGUCUGGCGGGUAGUUUGACUGGGGCGGUCGCCUCCUAAAGUGUAACGGAGGCAUGCAAAGGUUCCCUCAGCCUGAUCGGAAACCAGGCGCUGAGUGCAAACGCAUAAGGGAGCUUGACUGUAAGAGAGACAUCUCGAACAGGAACGAAAGUUGGCGUUAGUGAUCCGGUGGUCCCGAAUGGAAGGGCCAUCGCUCAUUGGAUAAAAGGUACGCCGGGGAUAACAGGCUGAUCGCAUCCAAGAGUUCACAUCGACGAUGCGGUUUGGCACCUCGAUGUCGGCUCAUCACAUCCUGGGGCUGAAGCAGGUCCCAAGGGUACGGCUGUUCGCCGUUUAAAGUGGUACGCGAGCUGGGUUUAAAACGUCGUGAGACAGUUUGGUCCCUAUCUUCUGUGGGCGAAGGAGAAUUGAGAGGGCCUGUCCCUAGUACGAGAGGACCGGGAUGGACGCACCCCUGGUGAUCCUGUUGUCGCGCCAGCGGCAUAGCAGGGUAGCUAUGUGCGGAAGGGAUAACCGCUGAAAGCAUCUAAGCGGGAAGCCUGCCUCAAGAUAAGUUCUCCCCUCGAAAGAGCUGAAGGGCCCGGGUAGACUACCCGGUCGAUAGGCUGGAGGUGUAAGCGCGGCGACGUGCUCAGCUGACCAGUACUAAUAGCCCGAGUGGCUUAUUUUU
RNAcentral lists this ribosomal RNA (1240 nucleotides) under human gut metagenome. Its description in RNAcentral is "bacterial LSU rRNA". It matches the Rfam family "Bacterial large subunit ribosomal RNA", at positions 1701 to 2925 of the family's 2925-position model. The record is from RNAcentral.